This 194-nucleotide ribosomal RNA is filed under the name uncultured Weissella sp. Its description in RNAcentral is "partial 16S ribosomal RNA". It matches the Rfam family "Bacterial small subunit ribosomal RNA", at positions 338 to 524 of the family's 1533-position model. The record is from RNAcentral. Lineage: Bacteria; Bacillati; Bacillota; Bacilli; Lactobacillales; Lactobacillaceae.
CCUACGGGAGGCAGCAGUAGGGAAUCUUCCACAAUGGGCGCAAGCCUGAUGGAGCAACGCCGCGUGUGUGAUGAAGGGUUUCGGCUCGUAAAACACUGUUAUAAGAGAAGAACGGCACUGAGAGUAACUGUUCAGUGUGUGACGGUAUCUUACCAGAAAGGAACGGCUAAAUACGUGCCAGCAGCCGCGGUAAU